Molecule: signal recognition particle RNA, 298 nt
Filed under: Aotus nancymaae (Ma's night monkey)
Lineage: Eukaryota; Metazoa; Chordata; Mammalia; Primates; Aotidae
Description: Metazoan signal recognition particle RNA (ENSANAG00000014744.1)
Rfam family: Metazoan signal recognition particle RNA
About the family: The signal recognition particle (SRP) is a universally conserved ribonucleoprotein. It is involved in the co-translational targeting of proteins to membranes. The eukaryotic SRP consists of a 300-nucleotide 7S RNA and six proteins: SRPs 72, 68, 54, 19, 14, and 9.
Source: RNAcentral
GCCAGGCACUGUAGCGCGUGCUUGUAGUCCCAGCUACUCAGGAGGCUGAGGUGGGAGGAUCUCUUGAGUCCAGGAGUUCUGGGCUGUAGUGCACUAUGCCAAUCGGGUGUCUGCACUAAGUUCGGCAUCAAUAUGGUGACCUCCCGGGAGCGGUGACCACCAGGUUGCCUAAGGAGGAGUGAACCAGCCCAGGUCGGAAAUGGAGCAGGUCAAAACUCCCGUGCUGAUCAGUAGUGGGAUCACGCCUGUGACAAGCCACUGCACUCCAGCCUGGGCAACAUAGCGAGACCCCGUCUCU